Molecule: long non-coding RNA, 1553 nt
Organism: Macaca mulatta (Rhesus monkey)
Lineage: Eukaryota; Metazoa; Chordata; Mammalia; Primates; Cercopithecidae
Source: Ensembl
AAAGUUAGUAAUGACAACAACUUUCUUAUGUGAUAAAAAUUAGCACCAAGAACAGAGAACAAAUAAGAGCCGCUUCAUGGGCAAUCAACCCCUGCAGGCACACAGGGCUCCACUGUCAGGCCCCUGUGCUUGGUUUAAUGCUCUGCUGUCGCCAUCUUCAAAUUCUAAAUAAUUGUGAACGAAGCCUCUUUCAUUUUGCGUCAUGAAGCUGGUUCUAAUUAUCAGUAUAGGAAAAAGUAGAAUCUUUAAUUGCAGUCAUCUGGCUUGGAGCCUUCUCAAACUCAGCCCCCGCUUGUGCAUCAUGCGGCAGUGAGGGUUGGGUCUGCGUUCUGUCUCCUAAAAACUGUAUGUUUCCGUUCAGUGAAUGAGUCUCCCGUUCCUAACAUGGAUAAGGCUCCAAGAUGCCUGAGGAGUUGACCUCUUCCACUGUGCAAUUUAUCAAGCCUGAAACAAGGAACAUCUGAUUUGGGAUUUAACAAUAUCAUUUUGUUUUAAUUCAGCAAAACAGGUUGUAGGAGGACAACAUGCAAGAUUCUUGUGGAAUUCUGGUCCUUCCAGGGCAGAAAGAUUGCCUCAGCCAGCUCCAGCGUGGAUGUUGGAGCUGAGCCAGCAGCAGAACAGGAAGACAGAGUCAGUGCUGUGUUCAAGUUCAGGCAGAAGGUCACCAGUCCCAUCUACUCUAUUUUAUCUCUGACUUCUUAUAUGUACCCUGGUGACCUGAAACCAAAGGAGAGGCAUUAACAAACCCAAACCUCCCCAAAGCGGGGAAGCUUUGAUCCUCCAAUACUCACAAGUACCUGGGAGGGUGCGGAGCCUGAGUGUCUGCUCGGAAUGGGUGUGGUCCUGAGCAAAUGUUGGACUCCAAGACCAGCAAAAUGUCUGAUUCUUACCAACUAAGUGGGUUUGAAACAUAGGAGUUUAGCCUGCCAUAUAUUACACAAUGAGUCAAGUGUCAAUUAUCGGUCUCUCUGGCUUUCCUCUAUUACCAUAGAUCAGAAUUUCAAUAGUCUUCCAAGGAACUGAGAUUUCCACUCAGCUCUCCUUAUAUUAAUCAUAGCAUAAAGAGAGCUACAAGUAUUUUGGAAUUAAAUGGCUGUGCUGCGAAUUUAUAUUCAUUCAUUUCUUUGACAUAUGACCAUGAUAGUAAUAGCAGAUGUGGCGAUGGCUUCAACUGAGCCCCUGGUGUGAGCCCCUUCUCCUCUAAGUCCCCUUUCCUGUGUGAGAAGACUCUGAUUUAGAGCAGUGCCACCCCGUGUCCCUCCUUAAGCCCAGGUGACUGUGGAAAGAGACCCCUGUGUUCAGGGAGCCCACAGUCUAGAGAAUACGAUUCAAGUAGGGUUUUUGAUAUGCAUUUUUCAUUCUCACUCCUGAGUUCAUGACCUUCCCCUGGUCACACUAGGCACCUACUUGCUUGAGAUUGUGUGCAGAUUACAGCUUCCCAUAGGAAUUGACACCAAGUCUACUGACGCCAAUUCUCAGGUUUAUCAAAAGAAAUAAUGUUUUCUAAAUUCCUUUACUGUAUCAAGGACAAAGCCUGUUGGAACCAGAUCAUA